Molecule: non-coding RNA, 198 nt
Filed under: Marinobacter excellens
Lineage: Bacteria; Pseudomonadati; Pseudomonadota; Gammaproteobacteria; Pseudomonadales; Marinobacteraceae
Source: RNAcentral
AUGUUGUGAUCAUUCUCUGAUCAUCGAACCACAUAGGGUAGUCGGGAAUCCGGUGAGAAUCCGGAACUGACGCGCAGCGGUAUUGGGGAACAAGCGUGGCAUCAAGACACUGGCAGUCGCCGGGAAGUCGCCACGCAAGGCCGAACCAACAGGUUCACGCCCCUGAGUCCGAAGACCUGCCGAGGAAACAGCACUGCA